Mirounga angustirostris (Northern elephant seal) is the source of this 5233-nucleotide long non-coding RNA. RefSeq lists it as uncharacterized. Lineage: Eukaryota; Metazoa; Chordata; Mammalia; Carnivora; Phocidae. The transcript has 2 exons. The record is from RefSeq and is a predicted model, not a curated record.
CCACCCAAGCUCCCUGCUCAGCAGGGAGUCUGCUUCUCCCUCUGACCCUCUCACCUCUCAUGUUCACUCUCUCUCUCAUUCUCUCUCUCAAAUAAAUAAAUAAAAUCAUAAAAAAAAAAAAAAAGCUGCAGCCUGAGAGUCUGGCUCCCAAUCAGCCUAAAACUAAGAGCUGACUGAGAUCCCACUCUUGGGAACAAUAACAGGUCUUGGCACAUUCUCAAUGACUGGAGCCUAUCAAGAAUAAAUCAGGCUGCUUAGACAAUUGUAGAGAUUCAAGAAACAACCAAGAGUUAGGGCAAAGUUGAACGACAAGGUUCAUCUCCUACAUAAGGUCAUUCCUUCAAGGCAGAGAGGGGUAGCCAUUUCUCCUAACAUGCAGAAACAAACAUAAAAAGUCAUGUAACGUGAGGAAAUAGAGGAAUAUGUUCCAAAGGAAAGAACAAGAUAAAACCUCAGAAAAAAAAAUUAAUGAAAUGGAAUUAAGUAAUUUACCUGUUAAAGAGUUUAAAGGAAUAGUGAUAAAUUUGCUCACCAAACUUGGGAGAAUGGGUGAAUGUAGUGAGAAAUUCAACAAAGAGAUAAAAGAUAUAAGGAAGUACCAAACAGUAGUCACAGAGCUGAAGAAUACAAAAACAGAACUGGAAAACGUACUAGAGGCAUUCAACAGCAGACAAGACAAAACAAGAAAGAAUGAGUGAGCUAGAAUACAGUGCAGUGGAACUCACCCAGAGUGGCAUAUAGAAAAAAAGAAUUUUAAAAAGUUAAUAUAACUUAAGGUACCUUGAGACAGUAUCAAGUAGAAUAACAUUCACAUUAUAGAGGUCCAAAAGAAGAGAGAGAGAAAGGGGCAGAAAAAUUAUUUUAAGAAAUAAUGGCAGAAAACUAACCUAACCUGGAGAAGGAAAUAAACAUCCAGAUCCAGGAAUCCCAGAGAGUUACAAAUAAAAUGAACUCAAAGAUAUUCACAAUAAGACACAUUAUAAUUAAAAUGUCAAAAGUAAAGAUAAAGAAUCUUAAAAGCAAUAAGAAAAAACAUGUUUUAUGUACAAGUGAACUCCCAUAAGAAUCUCAGCAGGUUUUUCAGUAGAAACUUUGCAGACCAGAAGAAAGGGUCAUGGUAUAUUCAAAAUGCUGAGAGGAAAAAACUUCUAACCAAGAAUACUUUAUCUGGGAAGAUCAUCAUGUAGAAUUAAAGGAGAAAUAGUUUUCCAGGUAAGCAGAAACUAAAGGAGUUCAUCACCAUUAAACUGGUCUUAUACGAAAUGUUACAAGGACUUCUUUAACCUGAAAAGAAAGGGCGCUAAUUAGUAACAAGAAAACAUGAAAGUACAAAUCUCACUGGUAAUGGUAAAUAUAUAGGAAAUAUGGUAGAAUAAUCACUUAUAAAGCUAGCGUGAAGGUUAAAAGACAAAAGUAAUAAAAACUGCAACAAUUAUUUAAAGGACAUAUAAAGUAAAAGAUGUAAAAUGUGACAAUAAAAACAUAAAAUGGGAGUGAGUGUGAGAAAGUCAAGUUUUAGAAUGCAUUCAUAUUUAAGUUGUUAUCAACUUAAAAUAGACUGUUAGAUAUAUAGGAUGUUGUGAGAGCCCCAUGUACUGACAAAGCAAGCAACUAGAGCAGAUACACAAAAGAUAAUGAGAGAAGAAUCUAAACAUGGCAUUAAAGAAAGGCAUCAGACCACAAGGGAAUAGAGAAAGAAAGGAACAGAGAAGAACUACUAAACAAUUGAAAAACAAUUAACAAAAUGACAAUAAGUACAUACCUAUCAAUAAUUACUUUAAAUGUAAAUGGACUAAAUAUUCCAAUCAAAAGAUGUGGAGUAGAUGAACAGAUAAAUGAAAACAAGACCCAUAUAUACACUGUCUCCCAUUCAAGUAUUAACCAGGCCCGACCCUGCUUAGCUUCCGAGAUCAGACGAGAUCGGGUGCGUUCAGGGUGGUAUGGCCGUAGACGACCCAUAUAUAUACUGUCUAAAAGAGACUCACCUAAGAUGUAAGAACACACUGAGACUGAAAGUGAAGGGAUGCAAAGCAAUAUUUUAUGCUAAUGGAAACCAAAAGAAAGCUGGGAUACCUAUACUUAUCAGACAAAAGAGAUUAAAAUGAAGACUGUAGUAAAAGACAAAUAAGGGCAUUAAAUGGUGGUAAAGGAGUCAGUCCAACAAGAGGCUAUAACAUGAAAUAUUUAUGCACCCAACAUACUUAGCACUUGAGUCUAUAGAGUAAACAGUAACAGACCUAAAGGAAGAAAUAGACAGCAAUACAAAAUAUAAUAAUAGCAGAGGACUUUAAUACCCUACUUAUGGGUGGCUCAGUUGUUGAGCAUCUGCUUCGGUUCAGGUCAUGAUCCUGUGGUCCUGGGAUCAAGACCUGCAUUGGGCUCCCUGCUCAGCCAGGAGCCUGCUUCCUCUCCCAUUCCUUCUGCUUGUGUUCCCUCUCUAGCUGUGUGUCUCUCUUUCUCUCUCUGUCAAAUAAAUAAAUAAUUAAAAAAAAAAAUACCCUACUUACACCAGUGAAUAGGUCAUUAAGACAGAAAAUCAGUAAGGAAAUAUUGGCCUUGACACAUCAGACUGACAGACUUAAUAGAUAUAUACAGAAUAUUCCAUCCAAAGAAGCAAGUUGUAUAUUCUCAAGUGCACCUGGGACAUUCUCCAGGGUAGAGUACAUGUUACAUGCUUAAGUAUGUCAAAUCUCAAUAAAUUUAAGAAGACUGAAAUCAUAUCAAGCAUAUUUUCCAACCACAAUGAUCUGAAACUAGAGAGCAAUUACAAGAAGAAAAAUGGAAAAAUCACAAAUAUGUGGUUAUUAGACAAUAUUCUACUCCAUAACCAAUGGGUCAAUGAAGAAAUCAAAGGUGAAAUAAAAAAAAAUACUUUGAGACAAAUUACAAUAGAGAUAUAAUAAUCCAAAAUCUGUGGGAUGUAGCAAAAGCAGUUCUAAGAGGGAUGUUCAUAGUGAUACAGUUUUACCUCAUCCAAACUCAUUUUAUGAGGCCAGCAUUACCCUGAUACCAAAACUAAAGAUACCACGUAUAUAAAGGAAGGGAGGGAGGGAGGAAAGGGAGAGUGAAGAAAGGAAGGGGAGGAGAGAGGAGAGGAGAAAAAAUUACAGGCCAAUAUUCCUGACGAACAUAUAUGCAAAAAUCCCCAACGAAAUAUUAGAAAGCUUAAUUAAACAAUACAUUAAAAUGAUCAUACAGCAUGGUCAAGUGGGAUUUAUUCCAGGGAUGCAAGAAUAGUUCUACAUCCACAAACCAAUGUGAUACAACAGAUUAACAAAACAAAACGUAAAAAUUACAUGAUCAUCUCAAUAAAUGGAAAAAAAGCAUUUGACAAAAUUCAGCAUCCAUUUAUGACCAAAAACUUUCAACAAGGUGAGUAUAGAUGGAACAUACCUCAACAUAAUGAAAGCCAUAUAUCAUAAGCCCACAGCUAACAUCAUACUCAAUGGUGAAAAGCUGAAAGCUUUUUCUCCAAGAUCAGGAACAAGACAAGGAUGCCCACCUUUGCCACUUUUAUUCAACAUAGUAUUGGAAGUUUUAGCCACAGCAGUUAAGCAGGAAAAAGAAGUAAAAUGUAUUCAAAGUGAAAAGGAAGAAAUAAAAUUGUCAUUAUUUUUGGACAACAUGAUUUUAUAUAGAAUUUAUAUUUAUUUUCUAUAUGGAAUUUAUAGAGAAAACUCUAAAGACUACCCUAAGACUGUUAGAACUAAGAAACAGGGACGCCUGGGUGGCUUAGUCAGUUAAGUGGCUGCCUUCAGCUCAGGUCGUGAUCUCAGGGUUCUGAGAUUGAGUCCCACAUUGGACUCCUUGCUCACUAGGGAGCCUGCUUCUCCCUCUGCCUGCUCUGCCCGCUGCUUCCCCUACUUGUGCUCUCUCUCUCUCUGACAAAUAAAUAAAUAAAAUCUUUAAAAAAAAAAGAACUAAGGGCGCCUGGGUGGCUCAGUUGGUUAAGCGACUGCUUUCGGCUCAGGUCAUGAUCCUGGAGUCCCGGGAUCGAGUCCCGCAUCGGGCUCCCUGCUCGGCAGGGAGUCUGCUUCUCCCUCUCCCACUCCCCGUUUGUGUUCCCUCUCUCGCUGUGUCUCUCUCUGUCAAAUAAAUAAAUAAAAUCUUUAAAAAAAAAAAAAAAAGAACUAAGAAACAUUUAAUAAACUUGUAGUGUACAAAAUAAAUCUACAAAAACCUGUUGCAUUUGUAUAUACUAACAAUGAACUAUCAGAAAGAGAAAUCUAAAAAACAGUUCCAUUUACAAUUUCAUCAAAAAGAGUGAAAUACCUAGUAAUAAAUUUAACCAAGGAGGUGAAAAACCUGUGCUCUGAAAACUAUAAAAUACUGAUGAAGGAUACUGAAGAAGACACAAAUAAAUGGAAAGAUAUUCCAUGCUCAUGGAUUGGAAAAAUUAAUUUUGUUAAAAUAUACUACCCAAAGCAAUCUACAGAUUCAUUAAAAUCUCUAUCAAAAUUCCAAUGAAGGGUACCUGGGUGGCUCAGUCAUUAAGCAUCUGCCUUCAGCUCAGGUCAUGAUCCCAGGGUCCUGGGAUAGAGCCCUGCAUUGGGCUCCCUGCUUAUCGGGAAGCCUCCUUCUCCCUCUCCCACUCCCCCUGCUUGUGUUCCCUCUCUUGCUCUCUCUCUCCCUCUUUCUCUGUGUCAAAAUAAAUAAAUAAAUAAAUAAACCUUAAUUAAAAAAAAAUUCCAAUGACAUUUUCACCAAAAUAUCACAAACAGACCAAAAACUUGUGUGAAACCACAAAAGAACUCCAAUAGCCAAAACAGUCUUCAGAAAGAAAAACAACACCAGAGGCAUCAUGCUCCCUGAUUUCAAAUUAUAUUGCAAAGCUAUGUUAAUCAGAAUACUGGGGUAUUGGUAUAAAAAUAGACAGAUGAAUGGAACAGAAUAGAAAACCCAGAAAUAAACCCUUGUAUAUAUUGUCAAUUUUCAAAAAUUUACAACAAAGUAAUGGGGAAAGGACAGUCUCUUCAAUAAAUGGUGUUAGAAAAACUAGAUAGCUACGUGCAAAAGAAUGAAUCUGGACCACUCCCUUACAACAUACACAAAAAUUUAUUCAAAAUCGAUUGAAAACUUGAACAUGGGGCUUGAAAUCAUAAAACUUCUAAAAGAAAAUAUAAGCCUGAAGUUCCUUAACAAUGGUCUUGAUGAUGAUUUUUUUAGAUCUGACUCCAAAAGCAAAGGCAACAAAAGCAAAAAUAAACAAAUGGGACUACAUCAAACUAAAAAG